Molecule: ribosomal RNA, 497 nt
Filed under: uncultured bacterium
Lineage: Bacteria
Description: partial 16S ribosomal RNA
Rfam family: Bacterial small subunit ribosomal RNA
Source: RNAcentral
GAUGAACGCUGGCGGCGUGCCUAAUACAUGCAAGUCGAGCGAACAGACGAGGAGCUUGCUCCUCUGACGUUAGCGGCGGACGGGUGAGUAACACGUGGAUAACCUACCUAUAAGACUGGGAUAACUUCGGGAAACCGGAGCUAAUACCGGAUAAUAUAUUGAACCGCAUGGUUCAAUAGUGAAAGACGGUUUUGCUGUCACUUAUAGAUGGAUCCGCGCCGCAUUAGCUAGUUGGUAAGGUAACGGCUUACCAAGGCAACGAUGCGUAGCCGACCUGAGAGGGGGAUGGGCCACAGUGGAACUGAGACCCGGACAAGCCCCCGCGGGGAGGAAGCAGGGGGGAAUCCUCCGAAAGGGGCGAAAGCCGGACGGAGCAAGGCCGGGGGAGUGAUAAAGUUCUUCGGAUCUUAAAACUCUUUUAUGGGGAAAAAAAAAAUGUGAAAGAAAAAUUGCCCUUCUUGACGGUCCCUAACAAAAAACCCAAGGAAAACCCCGAG